UUGUAUCAUGUUUUUUCUCGU
This 21-nucleotide non-coding RNA is filed under the name Caenorhabditis elegans. Lineage: Eukaryota; Metazoa; Nematoda; Chromadorea; Rhabditida; Rhabditidae. The record is from RNAcentral.